UACGUAGGUGGCGAGCGUUAUCCGGAAUGAUUGGGCGUAAAGGGUGCGUAGGCGGGCAUUUAAGCCGGCGGUCAAAUGUCGGGGCUCAACCCCGGCCUGCCGUCGGAACUGGGUGCCUUGAGUGGGCGAGAAGUAUGCGGAAUGCGUGGUGUAGCGGUGAAAUGCAUAGAUAUCGCGCAGAACUCCGAUUGCGAAGGCAGCCUGCCGGCCCCACACUGACGCUGAGGCACGAAAGCGUGGGUAUCGAACAGG
RNAcentral lists this ribosomal RNA (252 nucleotides) under uncultured Bacteroidales bacterium. RNAcentral's name for it is "partial 16S ribosomal RNA". It matches the Rfam family "Bacterial small subunit ribosomal RNA", at positions 524 to 776 of the family's 1533-position model. Lineage: Bacteria; Pseudomonadati; Bacteroidota; Bacteroidia; Bacteroidales. The record is from RNAcentral.